RNA transcript from Cebus imitator (Panamanian white-faced capuchin), 1149 nucleotides. It is a transcript of the gene named high mobility group protein B1-like, with no coding region annotated. The transcript has a single exon. The record is from RefSeq and is a predicted model, not a curated record. NCBI's taxonomy places the organism in Eukaryota, Metazoa, Chordata, Mammalia, Primates, Cebidae.
CCGAGCUGUGUCUGGCUCCCGAUCUCACAGCCAUUGCAGUACAUUGAGCUCCAUAGAGACAGCACCGAGGCAAGUGAGAGCUGGAUGGGCACUGGGCGACUCUGUGCCUCGCUGAGGAAAAAUAACUAAACAUGGGCAAAGGAGAUCCUAAGAAACUGAGAGGCAAAAUGUCAUCAUAUCCAUUUUUUGUGCAAACUUGUCGGGACGAGCAUAAGAAGCACUACCCAGAUGCUUCAGUCAACUUCUCAGAGUUUUCUAAGAAGUGCUCAGAGAGGUGGAAGACCAUGUCUGCUGAAGGGAAAGGAAAACCUAUAUUCCUUCUAAAGGGGAGACAAAAAAGAAGUUCAAGGAUCCCAAUGCAACCAAGAGGCCUUCUUUGGCCUUUUUCCUGUUCUGCUCUGAGUAUUGUCAAAAAAUCAAAGGAGGAAAUCCUGGCCUGUCCAUUGGUAAUGUUGCGAAGAAACUGGGAGAGAUGUGGAAUAACAAUGCUGCAGAUGACAAGCAGCCUUAUGAAAAGAAGGCUGCGAAGCUGAAGGAAAAAUACAAAAAGGAUAUUGCUGCAUAUCGAGCUAAAGGAAAGCCUGACGCAGCAAAAAAUGGAGUUGUCAAGGCUGAAAAAAGCAAGAAAAAGAAGGAAGAGGAGGAAGAUAAGGAAGAUGAAGAGGAUGAAGAGGAAGAUGAUGCUGAUGAAUAAGUUGGUUCUGGCGAAGUUUAUUUUUCUUGUCUAUAAAGCAUUUAACCUCUCUGUACACAACUUACUCCUUUUAAAUAAAAAAACUGAAAUGUAAGGCUGUUUAAAAUUUGUUUUUAAACUGUGUCUUUUUUUUUGUAUAGUUAACAGACUACCAAAUGUGUCUUUAGAUAGCCCUAUCCUGGUGGUAUUUUCAAUAGCCACUAACCUUGCCUGGUACAGUAUGGGGGUUGUAAAUUGGCAUGGAAAUUUAAAGCAGGUUCUUGUUGGUGAACAGCACAAAUUAGUUACAUAUGGGGAUGGUAACUUUUUCAUCUUCAGUUGUCUCUGAUGCAGCCUAUAUGAAAUAAUUGUUCUAUUAACUGAAUACUACUCUGUAAUUGCAAAAAAAAAAAAAAAUUGCAGCUGUUUUGUUGACAUUCUGAAUGCCUUCUAAGUAAAUACAAGUUUUUCUAUUU